AGAAUCAACGCUGGCGGCGUGCCUAACACAUGCAAGUCGAACGAGAAAGUGGAGCAAUCCAUGAGUAAAGUGGCGCACGGGUGAGUAACACGUGACUAACCUACCCUUGAGUGGGGGAUAACCUAGAGAAAUCUGGGCUAAUACCGCAUAAUACCUUCGGGUCAAAGGAGCAAUUCGCUUAAGGAGGGGGUCGCGGCCGAUUAGUUAGUUGGCGGGGUAAUGGCCCACCAAGACUAUGAUCGGUAUCCGGCCUGAGAGGGCGCACGGACACACUGGAACUGAAACACGGUCCAGACUCCUACGGGAGGCAGCAGUGGGAAUUUGCGCAAUGGGGGAAACCCUGACGCAGCAACGCCGCGUGGAGGAUGAAGUCCCUUGGGACGUAAACUCCUUUCGAUCGGGACGAUAAUGACGGUACCGAGAGAAGAGCCCCGGCUAACUUCGUGCCAGCAGCCGC
RNAcentral lists this ribosomal RNA (457 nucleotides) under uncultured bacterium. RNAcentral's name for it is "SSU rRNA". It matches the Rfam family "Bacterial small subunit ribosomal RNA", at positions 26 to 518 of the family's 1533-position model. The record is from RNAcentral.